Molecule: long non-coding RNA, 1019 nt
Filed under: Monodelphis domestica (gray short-tailed opossum)
Lineage: Eukaryota; Metazoa; Chordata; Mammalia; Didelphimorphia; Didelphidae
Description: lncRNA (ENSMODG00000042427.1)
Source: RNAcentral
GUUCAAGCUGUGCUAUUGCAGCAACUUGCCACACCUGGCAGACCUCGAUAGUGAUGACAGGAAGCACCUGGAAGGUGCAUUAAAUAGGAGCCAGGCUCACCAAGAAACAUGAGACUGAACCUGCAAUGUACAUCUACUGUACCCUGAAAUUCCCUUGCCCUGCAGGAAAGAUUUCCUGCACCCUUGAACCUACAGUGCCUGGAUUAGAGUGAGCAGGGAGGGAGAAGAGGUGGCUCUUGGCAGAACAGAAAAGGAAGGAAAUGAAGGCUACUCCUCUUGGCUCUCCAUUGUAUUCCAGAUGUCUUGGCUGCCAUGGAGGAAUUGCAAUGCAUCCAUGCAAGGGGAGAGUUUGAAUGAAGUCCCCCACUGUCACAAAUUAUGCAGUCAAGUUUCUGGCAUUUGCAGAAAUCGCAGGAAUCAGCCCAUUGAGUAAAAUGGAUAAGAUAAGCAUCACUCUGAGGAAACCACCCUUAAUAACAGAAUCAACUCUGCCAGGUGAUUGCAGCUACUCCAAGGAGGAGACAGAGAAAUUUCUACUGACUGGAAUUCCUUUGCUGGCUUUGUGGGAGUAGAGAGUUCCACCAGUAAUUAUGAAUGUGGUCCUGGAGGUGAUGAACCAUCAGAGUCACCCUGACCACUCUUCUCUAAGGAAUGUGGAGACAAAACUGUUCUUUGGAAAAAUGAGAGACAGAGGAAAUCUUACACCUAAAUGGGUGCACAAAAAAGGAAGAAGAGAGAAAGAGUCAGAGACACAGAGACAGAGAGAGACAGACAGACAGACAGACAGAAUGAGAGCUCUGCCACUAAUAAUAUGCUGCUUUUCCAAGUUGGCCUGGAGGUAGAAGUAGAGGGAGGGGGGAUGGGUAGGGUGAAUGUUUUCUAAUACAUGCACUGAGCUCCUUAGCACAUUGUAUUUGCCCCUGUGUUAAAGUAAUGGCUCUAUUGGUAUGCGGAUAAAUAUUUAACCAGAGGUUCUUUCUGAAAAAAAAAAAUAAAGGUACACAAGACACACUUUUAAG